This 780-nucleotide ribosomal RNA is filed under the name uncultured bacterium. RNAcentral's name for it is "bacterial SSU rRNA". It matches the Rfam family "Bacterial small subunit ribosomal RNA", at positions 55 to 810 of the family's 1533-position model. The record is from RNAcentral.
AUGCAGUCGAGCGAGAAGCCACCUUCGGGUGGUGAGUAAAGCGGCGCACGGGUGAGUAACGCGUGGGUUAUCUACCUCUAGGACAGGGAUAACACUGCGAAAGCGGUGCUAAUACCUGAUAAGCUAGUCAAUUAUUAAGUGGUUGGCUAGGAAAGGGUGGCCUCUCGGAGAAGCUACCGCCUAGGGAUGAGCCUGCGUCCCAUUAGCUAGUUGGUGGGGUAAUGGCCUACCAAGGCUACGAUGGGUAGCCGGCCUGAGAGGGUGACCGGCCACACUGGGACUGGAACACGGCCCAGACUCCUACGGGAGGCAGCAGUGGGGAAUAUUGGGCAAUGGGGGAAACCCUGACCCAGCAACGCCGCGUGAGGGAAGAAGGCCUUCGGGUCGUAAACCUUUGUCAGGAGGGAAGAACUCUUGGUGGUCGAACAGGCUGCCAAGCUGACGGUACCUCCAGAGGAAGCACCGGCUAACUCCGUGCCAGCAGCCGCGGUAAUACGGAGGGUGCGAGCGUUAUUCGGAAUCACUGGGCGUAAAGCGCGCGUAGGCGGCAUGGCAAGUCAGGUGUGAAAGGCCACGGCUUAACUGUGGGACUGCACUUGAGACUGCUGUGCUAGAGUUCGGUAGAGGGUAGUGGAAUUCCCGGUGUAGGGGUGAAAUCCGUAGAUAUCGGGAGGAACACCAGAGGCGAAGGCGACUACCUGGGCCGAUACUGACGCUGAGGUGCGAAAGCGUGGGGAGCAAACAGGAUUAGAUACCCUGGUAGUCCACGCUGUAAACGAU